Molecule: ribosomal RNA, 449 nt
Filed under: uncultured bacterium
Lineage: Bacteria
Description: partial 16S ribosomal RNA
Rfam family: Bacterial small subunit ribosomal RNA
Source: RNAcentral
AACGAACGCUGGCGGCAUGCCUAACACAUGCAAGUCGAACGAGAUCUUCGGGUCUAGUGGCGCACGGGUGCGUAACGCGUGGGAAUCUGCCCUUUGGUUCGGAAUAACAGUUGGAAACGACCGCCAAUACCGGAUGAUGACGAAAGCCCAAAGAUUUAUCGCCAGAGGAUGAGCCCGCGUAGGAUUAGCUAGUUGGUGUGGUAAAGGCGAACCAAGGCGACGAUCCUUAGCUGGUCUGAGAGGAUGAUCAGCCACACUGGGACUGAGACACGGCCCAGACUCCUACGGGAGGCAGCAGUGGGGAAUAUUGGACAAUGGGCGAAAGCCUGAUCCAGCAAUGCCGAGUGAGUGAUGAAGGCCUUAGGGUUGUAAAGCUCUUUUACCCGGGAUGAUAAUGACAGUACCGGGAGAAUAAGCUCCGGCUAACUCCGUGCCAGCCGCCGCGGUAA